Molecule: ribosomal RNA, 253 nt
Filed under: uncultured bacterium
Lineage: Bacteria
Description: partial 16S ribosomal RNA
Rfam family: Bacterial small subunit ribosomal RNA
Source: RNAcentral
UACGAAGGGGGCUAGCGUUGCUCGGAAUUACUGGGCGUAAAGGGCGCGUAGGCGGACAUUUAAGUUAGAGGUGAAAGCCCAGGGCUCAACCCUGGAAUAGCCUUUAAUACUGGAUGUCUUGAGUUCGGGAGAGGUGAGUGGAAUGCCGAGUGUAGAGGUGAAAUUCGUAGAUAUUCGGCGGAACACCAGUGGCGAAGGCGGCGAUCUGGGUCGAUACUGACGCUGAGGUGCGAAAGCGUGGGGAGCAAACAGG